Long non-coding RNA from Homo sapiens (human), 1995 nucleotides. The record is from Ensembl. NCBI's taxonomy places the organism in Eukaryota, Metazoa, Chordata, Mammalia, Primates, Hominidae.
UUACUUUCUUGCAUCAUACCUCAUUUACCUCUUUCUCUUCUUUAUGUCUGUCUCUGGGAUCUCAGGGCCCCACACUGGCAUGAAAUAAAGGUGUUUUUUAUGCAUAACUCAUAUGAUAAUAAUAACAACAACAAGAUUUUACUGUCUCCUAUCCCUUUAUGGGAGUACACUAUGCAAUACCUCUAUGAGGUGCCAUCUUAAAUUGUUUAGAUGUACCAUCUUAAAUGGUUUACCCUUAGCAAAGGGCACCUACACCUUUGAUUUUAUCUUUUCCUGUGCUAAGAGUGCACAAACUUUUCUUAUACAGAGUCAGGAAAGGCUUUGGGGUCCUAUAUCUUCUCUGUCACAUUUACUCAAAUGUGUCUUUCUAGGGAGAAGGCAUCCAAUAAACAAUAUGUAAACCAAGGAGCAUAGUUCUGCUUCAACAAAACCUUCUCUGUACAAAAGCAAAAGGCAGACUAGAUUUGCUCCAUGGGUCAUAGUUUGCUCUUCUCCCCAAACUAGUUUAUACUUUGAGAAUCCCUUAUCAUAUUGAAAGACAAGAACUGAAGGAAAUACUUUUAUUUUUUAACCCGGUAAGCCCUAUUUUUUAAAUUCCAUUAAAUUAUGAUGAUAAAAUUAGUAAUUUUUGUUGCCAUUGUUUUGUUUUAGCUCUCUGUCUCUGCACAUUAUUAUGAGUUAUUAAAAUAAGUCAGUUAACACUUUCAACAUCUUGUCUGGAAAAUAUCCUGCCAAUAUCCACAAAUUUAUUUUGUGUGUUUUUUAAAUUAAUUUGUCAUGUUAUCGUAGGCACUUUACCAAUUGUUUUGCUACUCUAUGACUCAGUUGACCACUUUGCCAGUUUGCUAUGGCAGUUUUGUCACCAUUAUACUACAUUAUACUAACUAAGAAGCUAAUAGUUUCCCUGCUGCUUUUCCAGCAUUUGCUCAAAGCUUCCUGACCUCCCAAAGUCAAUCUUACAUAUUUUAGACUUUAACCCAUCUACUCACCGAAGAUUAGUUUUCUCCAGAGAAAAACAGAUAAAAGCAUUCUGCAAAGUAAUAGAAAUCCACUGUUCUUGUUUUGGGAGAGGGCCUUCUACAGACUUUCAUUAAUAUUAUUUAGCCUGUUAUGACAGGGGAAAUCUCAAGGAAAAUAAGACCUAUUCUCCUUCAAUGAAAACAAACAAAUGAAAAAAAAAAAACCCACAACUCUCUUUUAGCUGGUGACAUCAGGACAAAUCUCAACACAUACAUACACACAUACACAGAUAAACACACAUGCUUUUGGUGUGUAUGUGUGUAGAAAAGCUCCAGCAGUCUCAGCAAAGUAUAUGCAUACUCUUUUCAUACUCCCUGAAGAGGGAAAUUUUAAAAAAUAGCAAUAUAAUAGACAUUUUUAUACAGCUAGAUCUGCAGGAAGAAAUGCGUCAAACUGCAAUAAUGACGCGUAGCAAGAGUGACUAAAAGAAGUAUCCAGUGGUCAGGUUCACAGGCAACCACAGACAGAGGUAAAAAUCUCUGAUGGGAGAAUCUUUACAAAAUUGGUCAUCACGUUUGCAUUAGGGCAUUGAAAUUCAUGUCAGCAGAGUGACUCUCAUAAAAACAUUGUAUUUUUUCUCUAGAUAGAUAAACUUUCAUCACAAAUUCCCUGGUUGUGUCCCCGUUCAUGCCAGUUGUUCUAGCAUUAUGGUUGGUAAUAAUGGCACUUUUAUUCCCAAAGUAUUUGGAUGAUAAAUUAUAUGGGUACCCAACCCUUAGGCUACAUCUGCUUCCUUAACAUAGAAAAUCACUGACUUUCUCACAUAUUAAUAAUUUUCAGGUGGAUAAUGAUGUAUUUCCCCUGCAUAUCACAUUAUUAAUGUCUAAAUAGGAAAAAAUUCAGCAGCUGUCAAUGUCUAAUAAGUUGAUCACAGUGGCCAGGAAAUGUUGAUGGAAUGGUUAAAUACAUAAAAGUCGUGCAUUAUUAUUACUGCUGUUCAGUGUAUUUUCAGUGUUUGAGCCAAGUACUACAAAA